RNAcentral lists this ribosomal RNA (467 nucleotides) under uncultured bacterium. RNAcentral's name for it is "partial 16S ribosomal RNA". It matches the Rfam family "Bacterial small subunit ribosomal RNA", at positions 28 to 506 of the family's 1533-position model. The record is from RNAcentral.
GACGAACGCUGGCGGCGUGCUUAACACAUGCCAGUCGAACGGAAAGGCCCUGCUUUUGUGGGGUGCUCGAGUGGCGAACGGGUGAGUAACACGUGAGUAACCUGCCCUUGACUUUGGGAUAACUUCAGGAAACUGGGGCUAAUACCGGAUAGGAGUUCCUGCUGCAUGGUGGGGGUUGGAAAGUUUCGGCGGUUGGGGAUGGACUCGCGGCUUAUCAGCUUGUUGGUGGGGUAGUGGCUUACCAAGGCUUUGACGGGUAGCCGGCCUGAGAGGGUGACCGGCCACAUUGGGACUGAGAUACGGCCCAGACUCCUACGGGAGGCAGCAGUGGGGAAUAUUGCACAAUGGGCGGAAGCCUGAUGCAGCAACGCCGCGUGCGGGAUGACGGCCUUCGGGUUGUAAACCGCUUUCGCCUGUGACGAAGCGUGAGUGACGGUAAUGGGGAAAGAAGCACCGGCGAACUACGU